This 253-nucleotide ribosomal RNA is filed under the name uncultured bacterium. RNAcentral's name for it is "partial 16S ribosomal RNA". It matches the Rfam family "Bacterial small subunit ribosomal RNA", at positions 524 to 776 of the family's 1533-position model. The record is from RNAcentral.
GACGGAGGAUGUAAGUGUUAUCCGGAAUCACUGGGCGUAAAGCGUCUGUAGGUGGUCAAAUAAGUCAACUGUUAAAUCUUGAGGCUUAACCUCAAAAUCGCAGUCGAAACUAUUAGACUAGAGUAUAGUAGGGGUAAAGGGAAUUUCCAGUGGAGCGGUGAAAUGCGUAGAGAUUGGAAAGAACACCGAUGGCGAAGGCACUUUACUGGGCUAUUACUAACACUCAGAGACGAAAGCUAGGGUAGCAAAUGGG